AUACGUAGGGGGCGAGCGUUGUCCGGAAUGACUGGGCGUAAAGGGCGUGUAGGCGGUUGAAUAAGUCUGGAGUGAAAGUCCCGGUUUCAAGUUGGGAACUGCUUUGGAUACUGUUCAACUUGAGUGCGGAAGAGGUAAGUGGAAUUCCCAGUGUAGCGGUGAAAUGCGUAGAGAUUGGGAGGAACACCAGUGGCGAAGGCGACGUACUGGACUGUAACUGACGCUGAGGCGCGAAAGUGUGGGGAGGAAACAGGAUUAGAUACCCUGGUAGUCCACACUGUAAACGAUGAAUGCUAGGUGGAGGGGGACUGACACCUUCCGUGCCGCAGUUAACACAAUAAGUAAUCCACCUGGGGGGUACGGCCGCAAGGUGGAAACUCAAAGGAAUUGGCAGGG
This 396-nucleotide ribosomal RNA is filed under the name uncultured bacterium. RNAcentral describes it as "partial 16S ribosomal RNA". It matches the Rfam family "Bacterial small subunit ribosomal RNA", at positions 523 to 918 of the family's 1533-position model. The record is from RNAcentral.